This 75-nucleotide transfer RNA is filed under the name Theodoxus fluviatilis. Its description in RNAcentral is "tRNA-Asn". It matches the Rfam family "tRNA". From Rfam's summary of the family: Transfer RNA (tRNA) molecules are approximately 80 nucleotides in length. Their secondary structure includes four short double-helical elements and three loops (D, anti-codon, and T loops). The record is from RNAcentral. Lineage: Eukaryota; Metazoa; Mollusca; Gastropoda; Cycloneritida; Neritidae.
UAACCAGAAGCUAAAGUAAUUGAAGCAUCUAGCUGUUAAUUAGAAGGUUGUAGAAUUAAAAUCCUACCUGGUUAG